UACGUAGGGGGCAAGCGUUGUCCGGAAUCAUUGGGCGUAAAGAGCGCGUAGGCGGUCCGGUAAGUCCGCUCUGAAAGCCCGGGGCUCAACCCCGGGAGGCGGGCAGAUACUGUCGGGCUAGAGUCCGGAAGAGGCGAGUGGAAUUCCUGGUGUAGCGGUGAAAUGCGCAGAUAUCAGGAGGAACACCGAUGGCGAAGGCAGCUCGCUGGGACGGUACUGACGCUGAGGCGCGAAAGCGUGGGGAGCGAACAGG
Molecule: ribosomal RNA, 253 nt
Filed under: uncultured bacterium
Lineage: Bacteria
Description: partial 16S ribosomal RNA
Rfam family: Bacterial small subunit ribosomal RNA
Source: RNAcentral